RNAcentral lists this ribosomal RNA (450 nucleotides) under uncultured bacterium. Its description in RNAcentral is "partial 16S ribosomal RNA". It matches the Rfam family "Bacterial small subunit ribosomal RNA", at positions 354 to 796 of the family's 1533-position model. The record is from RNAcentral.
GUGGGGAAUAUUGGACAAUGGGCGAAAGCCUGAUCCAGCCAUGCCGCGUGUGUGAAGAAGGUCUUCGGAUUGUAAAGCACUUUAAGUUGGGAGGAAGGGCAGUAAGUUAAUACCUUGCUGUUUUGACGUUACCAACAGAAUAAGCACCGGCUAACUUCGUGCCAGCAGCCGCGGUAAUACGAAGGGUGCAAGCGUUAAUCGGAAUUACUGGGCGUAAAGCGCGCGUAGGUGGUUCAGCAAGUUGAAGGUGAAAUCCCCGGGCUCAACCUGGGAAGUGCGCUUGUGACUGCAAGGCUGGAGUGCGGCAGAGGGGGAUGGAAUUCCGCGUGUAGCAGUGAAAUGCGUAGAUAUAGGAAGGAACACCAGUGGCGAAGGCGACCACCUGGACUGAUACUGACACUGAGGUGCGAAAGCGUGGGGAGCAAACAGGAUUAGAAACCCCGGUAGUCC